CUUCAGUAGCUUUGAGCUUUAUUGCUUCCUCAGGAGACAACUUAUCUGGAUCAGGAGGCAAUUGCUCUCUUUGCGAGCCAUUAGUUUCAUCAAACCGCACAUCUACAGUCUCAACAACCUUGUUGUGAUAGUUGUUGAAGACUCUGUAGGUGUGCGAGUCCUUUCCAUAACCGAGCAUAAAACCCUCAUGUGCCUUAGGUGCAAACUUUGAGCUAUGGUGAGGAUCUCUAAUCCAACAUUUUGCACCGAAGACUUUGAAAUAACUUACAUUGGGUUUCUU
RNAcentral lists this long non-coding RNA (280 nucleotides) under Hordeum vulgare. RNAcentral describes it as "long non-coding RNA (HVUL_LNC005586)". Lineage: Eukaryota; Viridiplantae; Streptophyta; Magnoliopsida; Poales; Poaceae. The record is from RNAcentral.